Molecule: unclassified non-coding RNA, 210 nt
Filed under: plant metagenome
Description: partial contains small subunit ribosomal RNA, internal transcribed spacer 1, and 5.8S ribosomal RNA
Source: RNAcentral
UUUCCGUAGGUGAACCUGCGGAAGGAUCAUUCAUAAUAAAGUGUUUUAUGGCACUUUUUCAAAAUCCAUAUCCACCUUGUGUGCAAUGUUAGAUCUCGUCAAUCUUGGCGAGAUUUUUAUACAUCAACUCAUUUUGUAACUAAUUUGUCUGAAAAUAUUAUGAAUACUUAAUUCAAAAUACAACUUUCAACAACGGAUCUCUUGGCUCUC